This 460-nucleotide ribosomal RNA is filed under the name uncultured bacterium. Its description in RNAcentral is "partial 16S ribosomal RNA". It matches the Rfam family "Bacterial small subunit ribosomal RNA", at positions 338 to 795 of the family's 1533-position model. The record is from RNAcentral.
CCUACGGGAGGCAGCAGUGAGGAAUAUUGGUCAAUGGACGAGAGUCUGAACCAGCCAAGUAGCGUGAAGGAUGACUGCCCUAUGGGUUGUAAACUUCUUUUAUAUGGGAAUAAAACGUUCCACGUGUGGGAUUUUGUAUGUACCAUAUGAAUAAGGAUCGGCUAACUCCGUGCCAGCAGCCGCGGUAAUACGGAGGAUCCGAGCGUUAUCCGGACUUAUUGGGUUUAAAGGGAGCGUAGGUGGAUUGUUAAGUCAGUUGUGAAAGUUUGCGGCUCAACCGUAAAAUUGCAGUUGAAACUGGCAGUCUUGAGUACAGUAGAGGUGGGCGGAAUUCGUGGUGUAGCGGUGAAAUGCUUAGAGAUCACGAAGAACUCCGAUUGCGAAGGCAGUUCACUGGACUGCAACUGACACUGAGGCUCGAAAGUGUGGGUAUCAAACAGGAUUAGAUACCCCUGUAGUC